Trichonephila inaurata madagascariensis is the source of this 70-nucleotide non-coding RNA. The record is from the annotation of a GenBank genome assembly. Lineage: Eukaryota; Metazoa; Arthropoda; Arachnida; Araneae; Nephilidae.
ACGAGGUAGGCCGAGUGGUUAAGGCGAUGGACUGCUAAUCCAAGUGUGGGUUCGAAUCCCAUCCUUAAUU